Oncorhynchus keta (chum salmon) is the source of this 233-nucleotide long non-coding RNA. RefSeq lists it as uncharacterized. The record is from RefSeq and is a predicted model, not a curated record. The transcript has 3 exons. NCBI's taxonomy places the organism in Eukaryota, Metazoa, Chordata, Actinopteri, Salmoniformes, Salmonidae.
AGCAACCGCCUUACUUAAUCAACAGCAAUAUAUAUAGAAUACAGUAACCACAGGUUUGGGUGUGAGAGCAACUGCCUUACUUAAUCAACACAGCAGCAAUAUAUAUAGAAUACAGUAACCACAGGUUUGGGUGUGAGAGCAACUGCCUUACUUACUCAACACAGCAGCAAUAUAUAUAGAAUACAGUAACCACAGGUUUGGGUGUGAGAGCAACUGCCUUACUUAAUCAACAC